Molecule: ribosomal RNA, 239 nt
Filed under: Staphylococcus aureus
Lineage: Bacteria; Bacillati; Bacillota; Bacilli; Caryophanales; Staphylococcaceae
Description: partial 23S ribosomal RNA
Rfam family: Bacterial large subunit ribosomal RNA
Source: RNAcentral
GAUUAAGUUAUUAAGGGCGCACGGUGGAUGCCUUGGCACUAGAAGCCGAUGAAGGACGUUACUAACGACGAUAUGCUUUGGGGAGCUGUAAGUAAGCUUUGAUCCAGAGAUUUCCGAAUGGGGAAACCCAGCAUGAGUUAUGUCAUGUUAUCGAUAUGUGAAUACAUAGCAUAUCAGAAGGCACACCCGGAGAACUGAAACAUCUUAGUACCCGGAGGAAGAGAAAGAAAAUUCGAUUC